This is a long non-coding RNA of Carya illinoinensis, 1370 nucleotides long. RefSeq lists it as uncharacterized. Lineage: Eukaryota; Viridiplantae; Streptophyta; Magnoliopsida; Fagales; Juglandaceae. The record is from RefSeq and is a predicted model, not a curated record. The transcript is spliced from 2 exons.
GUCUCGAGGACUUAAGACCAAAUAGUUUGAGAAGCAUUGGUUAUUCUCUCAGCUUUGAGCAGGCUAUUUAACUCAUAAAUUGGGAUUAUUUACUGUGCUUCCCAUGAAACAAUGAAAUUUUCAAGAAAGAAAAAAACUGAAAUCUUACAAAUGCUAUUCUACGUUCUACUUUAUGGUUUUUAAAGCUUCAUUUCUCAUAUACUCAUCUAAUGGAAAACUCUAUCUGCAGGCGUCUCGUGGACUGAUUAUUUGUCCACUAGAUUGGCCUAAACGUCCCUCAGAACUCUAUAUUUCUCACGUCCAUUCUUCCACAUUUAUUUGUUUGGGUUUCGGUAUUGAGAGAUUUUCCUGGGUGACUCUUUUUCCAUCCAAGAAAAUUAGAUUGUGUCUAGGUCUUGAAUGUUUCUUGGAAAAAAUUUUUGAAUGGAUCCAGUGCCCGUGAUAUUGGACAUAAGCUCCAACAAAGAAAUGGGUUUGGGCGAGCCCUGGGGUAGUGGCGACGGCGGCUUGGAUUGGUUAUCUAAGUUUUUUGGUUGCACUAAUGACAAACAACCAGAAGAUGAUUCCGAUGAUGUAGUGGUGGUGAGGGAGGUAAUCAACGCCAAGCGAAAGUUAAAGCCUUUGAAAUUGUCGUUGAGAGAUGCAGACGAUGAUUGCGGGGUGACCCAGAUGACCCGAUCGCAGUGGUGGACGCCGAGACUGUCGGGUCGAACGAAUUGCUUAUAGUUGGAGGGUAGGGGCAGGUGAGUAUUUAGUUGUUGAAGACGAUCCCUCUCGUUUUCGCCCCAGUAUGAAGUUGCUUUGGUUUUCUGAGAUGAGAGUGAAUGAACUUGUUCUUCAAGGUAUAAAUCUUCAACAGGUUAUUGCUGCCUUUGGAUGCUUAAUGGACCGAACAUCUGCAUUUGCAUUGAGAAAGGAGGCCAAUCUCAAACAUCUGCAUUAGUUGAGCUGACUUUCCAGUUGAAAAUAUAUGACCAGUUUUGAAGAGCGUCAUUUUAGCAAUGAAGCAUACCCCUCUACUAUUAUAUUAGCCGAACCCAUGUUCUUUGCCUAGGACUAUGCCUGAAUCCAGACCGCCGGAGGAUAUUUCUCAGUUCAAUGUAAGACUGUUCAUCUAAGUAACCAUGGAUUGCGGGUAUCAUUUUCACCUCAUAUACCCGUACUCGUCUCUGGAUAUAUAAGCAGAUGGAUAAUUUGGUUAUCGAUCCUUAUAAACCACCUUUGGAACCUAAUUAUGGUUCGAAACAAACCGAGAAAAAAGUAGUCUAUGUUAAUUUAUUGUAUUGCAAUCAAUUGAGUAAUGUUACAUACAAUCUUGAAGCGUGUAAGUUUUUCACACUUAAUUUUUAUAUAUAUCUUAGAUUUAUCAA